UGUCCUCUCGGCGUUAGGUCUGCAGGCAUCAGACACAAGGCCAGCUGGCUUAUGUGGAAAUCACAGCCCUGACUAAGGCCCGGAUCACAGGCUCUUCAAAAGAAGAGGUUACUGUGGCGCUGAAAUCAGAAUAGCUGGUCCCUCCAGCUUUUUCUCGGGGACCAAGAGGCUUCAAUGAGCAGCCAGUAGCAAUGGGCAGACAGCACACUGCAGCUAAAUGAGGAUGCUCUGUCUCAGCUGUCACAUCAAUGGGGAAGACAACAGGCUCCAAGUUGCCAAGUCCUAAGCUUUCAGCUGGUAAAGAAUCUGCCCACCAACUGUAGGAGACACAAGACGAGGGCUCAAUCCCUGGGUCGGGAAGAUCCCCUGGAGAAAGAAACGGCAACCUGUUCCAGUAUUCAUGUAUCAUCCCAUGGACAGAGGAACCUGGUGGGCUACAGUCCAUGGGACUGCAAAGAGUCAGACAUGACUGAGUGACUGAGAAUGUCCCCGUGUGCAUUUCAUUGUUGUCUCCAGUGGUGAGAACUAUACUAAGAAAUGUCUGUGAUGGUUUCCACUUUAAAAGAGUUCAAUGCCUUCUCAUGACUCCCCUUUCAUUUUGAAACAAGGUGGUUUGUUUGUGUGGCUAAAUCACCUGAAUAAAGAACCCUGAUGAGUCUCCUUGGAAAACAGCUCUGUAUGCCAAACAACAGCUUAAUAUUCCUCCAGCAGAAGGUCUCUCUCUCUCCUAGGGAAACCAUCUCAAAAACAGUCUCCUCUGGAGAGCUGGUCUGUUUAUUUCUGAAGCAGAUUAUGGGCCAGCAGUGCCCUCUCCUGGCAUCUUGAAGUUAUAGCUUGACAUGCCUUUUUUUAAACAUGGAAGAGAUUUUUUCCUACAGAAAGAAGCCAUUGUUAAUACUACACAGCUCUACUUGAAGAUCUUAAUUAAUUAAUUGGGGUCAAGAGUUGUGGCUGUAGUGAUCAAAGAAAAGGCUAUUUUCAACACCAGGAUAAAGGAGACAGAUGAAGCAUUAAACAAAACAAACAAAAAGCCUAAACUUGGGC
This is a long non-coding RNA of Bos taurus (domestic cattle), 1044 nucleotides long. The record is from Ensembl. Lineage: Eukaryota; Metazoa; Chordata; Mammalia; Artiodactyla; Bovidae.